GACAGAGGGUGCCAACGUUGCUCGGAAUUACUGGGCGUAAAGCGCGUGUAGGCGGGGCCGCACGUCCGGUGUGAAAGCCCGGGGCUCAACCCCGGAAGGGCACUGGAAACGACGGCCCUGGAGGCUUGAAGAGGAGCGCGGAAUUCCCGGUGUAGAGGUGAAAUUCGUAGAUAUCGGGAGGAACACCGGUGGCGAAGGCGGCGCUCUGGCCAAGUUCUGACGCUGAGACGCGAAAGCGUGGGUAGCAAACAGG
Molecule: ribosomal RNA, 253 nt
Filed under: uncultured bacterium
Lineage: Bacteria
Description: partial 16S ribosomal RNA
Rfam family: Bacterial small subunit ribosomal RNA
Source: RNAcentral